This 253-nucleotide ribosomal RNA is filed under the name uncultured bacterium. RNAcentral describes it as "partial 16S ribosomal RNA". It matches the Rfam family "Bacterial small subunit ribosomal RNA", at positions 524 to 776 of the family's 1533-position model. The record is from RNAcentral.
UACGGAGGGUGCAAGCGUUAUCCGGAUUCACUGGGUUUAAAGGGUGCGUAGGUGGGCAGGUAAGUCAGUGGUGAAAUCUUUGGGCUUAACCAGAAAACUGCCAUUGAUACUAUUUGUCUUGAAUAUUGUGGAGGUCAGCGGAAUAUGUCAUGUAGCGGUGAAAUGCUUAGAUAUCGGGAGGAACACCGGUGGCGAAGGCGGCGACCUGGGUAGAGACUGACGCUGAGGUGCGAAAGCGUGGGGAGCAAACAGG